UACGUAGGGUGCAGGCGUUAAUCGGAAUUACUGGGCGUAAAGCGUGCGUAGGCGGUUUGUUAAGUCAGGUGUGAAAUCCCCGGGCUUAACCUGGGAACUGCGCUUGUUACUGGCAGACUUGAGUGUGGCAGAGGGGGGUGGAAUUCCACGUGUAGCAGUGAAAUGCGUAGAGAUGUGGAGGAACACCGAUGGCGAAGGCAGCCCCCUGGGCUAACACUGACGCUGAUGCACGAAAGCGUGGGGAGCAAACAGG
This 253-nucleotide ribosomal RNA is filed under the name uncultured bacterium. Its description in RNAcentral is "partial 16S ribosomal RNA". It matches the Rfam family "Bacterial small subunit ribosomal RNA", at positions 524 to 776 of the family's 1533-position model. The record is from RNAcentral.